This 253-nucleotide ribosomal RNA is filed under the name uncultured bacterium. RNAcentral's name for it is "partial 16S ribosomal RNA". It matches the Rfam family "Bacterial small subunit ribosomal RNA", at positions 524 to 776 of the family's 1533-position model. The record is from RNAcentral.
UACGUAGGGUGCGAGCGUUAAUCGGAAUUACUGGGCGUAAAGCGUGCGCAGGCGGUUUUGUAAGCCAGAUGUGAAAUCCCCGGGCUUAACCUGGGAAUGGCAUUUGGGACUGCAAGGCUGGAGUGCGGCAGAGGAGACUGGGAUUCCUGGUGUAGCAGUGAAAUGCGUAGAUAUCAGGAGGAACACCGAUGGCGAAGGCAGGUCUCUGGGCUGACACUGACGCUCAUGCACGAAAGCGUGGGGAGCAAACAGG